Molecule: ribosomal RNA, 442 nt
Filed under: uncultured bacterium
Lineage: Bacteria
Description: bacterial SSU rRNA
Rfam family: Bacterial small subunit ribosomal RNA
Source: RNAcentral
UAGAGUUUGAUCCUGGCUCACAAAGAACGCUGCGCGGCAUGCCUAACACAUGCAAGUCGAACGAGACCUUUGGGUCUAGUGGCGCACGGGUGAGUAACGCGUGGGAAUCUGCCCUUUGGUUCGGAACAACACAGGGAAACUUGUGCUAAUACCGUAUGAUCCCUUCGGGCCAAAGAUUUAUCGCCCAAGGAUGAGCCCGCGUAGGAUUAGCUAGUUGGUGAGGUAAAGGCUCACCAAGGCGACGAUCCUUAGCUGGUCUGAGAGGAUGAUCAGCCACACUGGGACUGAGACACGGCCCAGACUCCUACGGGAGGCAGCAGUGGGGAAUAUUGGACAAUGGGCGAAAGCCUGAUCCAGCAAUGCCGCGUGAGUGAUGAAGGCCUUAGGGUUGUAAAGCUCUUUUACCCGGGAUGAUAAUGACAGUACCGGGAGAAUAAGCCCC